Molecule: long non-coding RNA, 562 nt
Organism: Rhododendron vialii
Lineage: Eukaryota; Viridiplantae; Streptophyta; Magnoliopsida; Ericales; Ericaceae
Exons: 3
Source: RefSeq, a predicted model, not a curated record
CUGCAAAUUUUCAUCCUAGCAUUUGGGGAGAUUAUUUCCUUGCCUACGCUUUUGUCAUUACGGAACCGGAUGUUAAAACGGAGCGAAGAAUUGAGCAGCUCAUGAAAGCAAAAGUCAGAGAGAUGAUAGUGGCAAGUGCUGAUAAACCUUCAUAGAAGUUGAGCUUGAUUGAUGCAAUUCAACGCCUAGGCGUAGGCUACCAUUUCGAAACAGAGAUUGAGACAACAUUACAACACAUAUAUAUAUGAAAUCUAUCAUGAAAUGGCCAACGAUAAAGAUCUUUACACUGUGGCUCUCUCAUUUCGAGUGCUUAGACAGCAAGGACAUCCUCUCUCCUGUGAUGUAUUCAACAACUUCAAGGACAACGAAGGGAAAUUUAAGGAAUCAUUGAUUGGUGAUGUGAGAGGAUUGUUGAGUUUGUACGAAGCUACACAUCUGAGGGUUCAUCAAGAAGACAUGCUAGAUGAAGCACUGGAAUUUACCACCACUCACCUCAAUUCUGCACUACCAAACUUGAGCAAUAAUCCAAUUGUAGCACAAGUAGUUCAUGCUCUAGAUCAGC